This 519-nucleotide long non-coding RNA is filed under the name Mus musculus (house mouse). RNAcentral describes it as "predicted gene 12905 (ENSMUSG00000085875.5)". The record is from RNAcentral. Lineage: Eukaryota; Metazoa; Chordata; Mammalia; Rodentia; Muridae.
GGGAGGAGUUCUAGGGCGGUGACCGGCACCUGCCUCCUCCCUCCAGCCAGCGUCGCCUCCUGGCCCCCCUCGACCCUCGGAGGCCCAGGUCGGGGACCCUGGGCGAACCGCGCCCAGGCUCUGCGCUCGCAGGUGUGGACAGUGCCCGGGGACGCAGCGCCAGGCCUCCACCCUCUCAGGCCUCCUGGGCACCCGCCACCUGAGCGCCGUGGGCCGGGCAAAACCAAGGGCAGGCGGCGGCUGCGGGGCGCUCACCUUCUGGAUGGAGGAUUUGCCGCUGCGCCGGAGCCCCAUAAGCAGGAUCCUCGGCUUGGAGCUGUCAGCGCCGCCCGGGCCGCAGCCGCCGCCGGCCCCCGCGCCUCCGCCGCCACCCGCCGCUGCCUCCUCUUCCUCCUCCUCCACGCCGUAGCCGAAGUCCUUGGGGAACGAGUCGGCUGCGCCGUAACUGCCGGCCAGGGGCGUCUCCUCCGCCCCGUACUGCAGGGACAUGGUGCUGGACCACCACCGCCCGCGCCCUGA